AACGUAGGAGCCUAGCGUUAUCCGAAUUUACUGGGCGUAAAGCGCAUGUAGGCGGCUGGGUAAGUUGGCUGUGAAAUCUCCCGGCUCAACUGGGAGAGGCCGGUCAAGACUGCCUGGCUGGAGGCUGGUAGAGGGAGGUGGAAUUCCCGGUGUAGUGGUGAAAUGCGUAGAUAUCGGGAGGAACACCAGUGGCGAAAGCGGCCUCCUGGACCAGACCUGACGCUCAGAUGCGAAAGCUAGGGGAGUGAACGGGAUUAGAAACCCCGGUAAUCCUAGCCGUAAACGAUGUCGACUUGGCGUCGGUGGGGUAAAAGCCAGCGGUGCCGGAGCUAACGCAGUAAGUCGACCGCCUGGGGACUACGGCCGCAAGGUUAAA
Molecule: ribosomal RNA, 376 nt
Filed under: uncultured bacterium
Lineage: Bacteria
Description: bacterial SSU rRNA
Rfam family: Bacterial small subunit ribosomal RNA
Source: RNAcentral